RNAcentral lists this ribosomal RNA (448 nucleotides) under uncultured bacterium. Its description in RNAcentral is "bacterial SSU rRNA". It matches the Rfam family "Bacterial small subunit ribosomal RNA", at positions 335 to 800 of the family's 1533-position model. The record is from RNAcentral.
ACUCCUACGGGAGGCAGCAGUGGGGAAUCUUAGACAAUGGGCGCAAGCCUGAUCUAGCCAUGCCGCGUGAGUGAUGAAGGCCCUAGGGUCGUAAAGCUCUUUCGCCUGUGAAGAUAAUGACUGUAGCAGGUAAAGAAACCCCGGCUAACUCCGUGCCAGCAGCCGCGGUAAUACGGAGGGGGUUAGCGUUGUUCGGAAUUACUGGGCGUAAAGCGCGCGUAGGCGGAUUAGUCAGUCAGAGGUGAAAUCCCAGGGCUCAACCCUGGAACUGCCUUUGAUACUGCUAGUCUUGAGUUCGAGAGAGGUGAGUGGAAUUCCGAGUGUAGAGGUGAAAUUCGUAGAUAUUCGGAGGAACACCAGUGGCGAAGGCGGCUCACUGGCUCGAUACUGACGCUGAGGUGCGAAAGUGUGGGGAGCAAACAGGAUUAGAUACCCUGGUAGCACAGAG